RNAcentral lists this ribosomal RNA (1346 nucleotides) under uncultured bacterium. RNAcentral describes it as "bacterial SSU rRNA". It matches the Rfam family "Bacterial small subunit ribosomal RNA", at positions 28 to 1381 of the family's 1533-position model. The record is from RNAcentral.
GAUGAACGCUGGCGGCGUGCCUAAUACAUGCAAGUCGAACGCUUCACUUCGGUGAAGAGUGGCGAACGGGUGAGUAAUACAUAAGUAACCUGGCAUCUACAGGGGGAUAACUGAUGGAAACGUCAGCUAAGACCGCAUAGGUGUAGAGAUCGCAUGAACUCUAUAUGAAAAGUGCUACGGGACUGGUAGAUGAUGGACUUAUGGCGCAUUAGCUUGUUGGUAGGGUAACGGCCUACCAAGGCGACGAUGCGUAGCCGACCUGAGAGGGUGACCGGCCACACUGGGACUGAGACACGGCCCAGACUCCUACGGGAGGCAGCAGUAGGGAAUUUUCGGCAAUGGGGGAAACCCUGACCGAGCAACGCCGCGUGAAGGAAGAAGUAAUUCGUUAUGUAAACUUCUGUCAUAGAGGAAGAACGGUGGAUAUAGGGAAUGAUAUCCAAGUGACGGUACUCUAUAAGAAAGCCACGGCUAACUACGUGCCAGCAGCCGCGGUAAUACGUAGGUGGCGAGCGUUAUCCGGAAUUAUUGGGCGUAAAGAGGGAGCAGGCGGCACUAAGGGUCUGUGGUGAAAGAUCGAAGCUUAACUUCGGUAAGCCAUGGAAACCGUAGAGCUAGGGUGUGUGAGAGGAUCGUGGAAUUCCAUGUGUAGCGGUGAAAUGCGUAGAUAUAUGGAGGAACACCAGUGGCGAAGGCGACGAUCUGGCGCAUAACUGACGCUCAGUCCCGAAAGCGUGGGGAGCAAAUAGGAUUAGAUACCCUAGUAGUCCACGCCGUAAACGAUGAGUACUAAGUGUUGGGUGUCAAAGCUCAGUGCUGCAGUUAACGCAAUAAGUACUCCGCCUGAGUAGUACGUUCGCAAGAAUGAAACUCAAAGGAAUUGACGGGGGCCCGCACAAGCGGUGGAGCAUGUGGUUUAGUUCGAAGCAACGCGAAGAACCUUACCAGGUCUUGACAUCGAUCUAAAGGCUCCAGAGAUGGAGAGAUAGCUAUAGAGAAGACAGGUGGUGCAUGGUUGUCGUCAGCUCGUGUCGUGAGAUGUUGGGUUAAGUCCCGCAACGAGCGCAACCCCUGUUGCCAGUUGCCAGCAUUAAGUUGGGGACUCUGGCGAGACUGCCGGUGACAAGCCGGAGGAAGGCGGGGAUGACGUCAAAUCAUCGUGCCCCUUAUGACCUGGGCUACACACGUGCUACAAUGGACAGAGCAGAGGGAGGCGAAGCCGCGAGGUGGAGCGAAACCCAUAAAACUGUUCUCAGUUCGGACUGCAGUCUGCAACUCGACUGCACGAAGAUGGAAUCGCUAGUAAUCGCGAAUCAGCAUGUCGCGGUGAAUACGUUCUCGGGCCU